ACGAACGCUGGCGGCAUGCCUAACACAUGCAAGUCGAACGGAGAUUAUUUCGGUAAUCUUAGUGGCGACCGGGUGAGUAACGCGUGGGCAACCUGCCCUCUAGAUGGGGACAACAUCCCGAAAGGGGUGCUAAUACCGAAUGUGACAGCAAUCUCGCAUGAGGAUGCUGUGAAAGAUGGCCUCUAUUUAUAAGCUAUCGCUAGAGGAUGGGCCUGCGUCUGAUUAGCUAGUUGGUGGGGUAACGGCCUACCAAGGCGAUGAUCAGUAGCCGGUCUGAGAGGAUGAACGGCCACAUUGGGACUGAGACACGGCCCAGACUCCUACGGGAGGCAGCAGUGGGGAAUCUUCCGCAAUGGGCGAAAGCCUGACGGAGCAAUGCCGCGUGAGUGAUGAAGGAAUUCGUUCCGUAAAGCUCUUUUGUUUAUGACGAAUGUGCAGAUUGUGAACAAUGAUCUGUAAUGACGGUAGUAAACGAAUAAGCCACGGCUAACUACGUG
RNAcentral lists this ribosomal RNA (497 nucleotides) under uncultured bacterium. RNAcentral describes it as "partial 16S ribosomal RNA". It matches the Rfam family "Bacterial small subunit ribosomal RNA", at positions 29 to 507 of the family's 1533-position model. The record is from RNAcentral.